AUGCACGCUGGCGGCGUGCUUAACACAUGCAAGUCGAACGGGAAACCUUUUAUUGAAGCUUCGGCAGAUUUAGCUGGUUUCUAGUGGCGGACGGGUGAGUAACGCGUGGGUAACCUGCCUUAUACAGGGGGAUAACAGUCAGAAAUGGCUGCUAAUACCGCAUAAGCGCACAGAGCUGCAUGGCUCAGUGUGAAAAACUCCGGUGGUAUAAGAUGGACCCGCGUUGGAUUAGCUGGUUGGUGGGGUAACGGCCCACCAAGGCGACGAUCCAUAGCCGGCCUGAGAGGGUGAACGGCCACAUUGGGACUGAGACACGGCCCAGACUCCUACGGGAGGCAGCAGUGGGGAAUAUUGCACAAUGGGGGAAACCCUGAUGCAGCGACGCCGCGUGAAGGAAGAAGUAUCUCGGUAUGUAAACUUCUAUCAGCAGGGAAGAUAAUGACGGUACCUGACUAAGAAGCCCCGGCUAACUACGUG
This 477-nucleotide ribosomal RNA is filed under the name uncultured bacterium. RNAcentral describes it as "partial 16S ribosomal RNA". It matches the Rfam family "Bacterial small subunit ribosomal RNA", at positions 29 to 507 of the family's 1533-position model. The record is from RNAcentral.